This 599-nucleotide ribosomal RNA is filed under the name uncultured bacterium. Its description in RNAcentral is "bacterial SSU rRNA". It matches the Rfam family "Bacterial small subunit ribosomal RNA", at positions 9 to 656 of the family's 1533-position model. The record is from RNAcentral.
GAGUUUGAUCCUGGCUCAGAACGAACGCUGGCGGCAGGCCUAACACAUGCAAGUCGAGCGCGCCUUCGGGUGAGCGGCGGACGGGUUAGUAACGCGUGGGAACGUGCCCUUCUCUACGGAAUAGCCUCUGGAAACGGAGAGUAAUACCGUAUACGCCCUUUGGGGGAAAGAUUUAUCGGAGAAGGAUCGGCCCGCGUUAGAUUAGGUAGUUGGUGGGGUAACGGCCUACCAAGCCUACGAUCUAUAGCUGGUUUUAGAGGAUGAUCAGCAACACUGGGACUGAGACACGGCCCAGACUCCUACGGGAAGCAGCAGUGGGGAAUCUUAGACAAUGGGGGCAACCCUGAUCUAGCCAUGCCGCGUGAGUGAUGAAGGCCUUAGGGUCGUAAAGCUCUUUCGCCUGUGAUGAUAAUGACAGUAGCAGGUAAAGAAACCCCGGCUAACUCCGUGCCAGCAGCCGCGGUAAUACGGAGGGGGUUAACGUUGUUCGGAAUUACUGGGCGUAAAGCGCGCGUAGGCGGAUUAGAAAGUUGGGGGUGAAAUCCCGGGGCUCAAACCCGGAACUGCCUCCAAAACUGCUAGUCUAGAGUUCGAGAGAG